Molecule: ribosomal RNA, 276 nt
Filed under: uncultured prokaryote
Description: partial 16S ribosomal RNA
Rfam family: Bacterial small subunit ribosomal RNA
Source: RNAcentral
UACGUAGGUGGCAAGCGUUAUCCGGAAUUACUGGGCGUAAAGGGUGCGUCGGUGGUUUCUUAAGUCAGAGGUGAAAGGCUACGGCUCAACCGUAGUAAGCCUUUGAAACUGGGAAACUUGAGUGCAGGAGAGGAGAGUGGAAUUCCUAGUGUAGCGGUGAGAUGCGUAGAUAUUAGGAGGAACACCAGUUGCGAAGGCGGCUCUCUGGACUGUAACUGACACUGAGGCACGAAAGCGUGGGGAGCAAACAGGAUUAGAUACCCCGGUAGUCCCUGA